Molecule: ribosomal RNA, 253 nt
Filed under: uncultured bacterium
Lineage: Bacteria
Description: partial 16S ribosomal RNA
Rfam family: Bacterial small subunit ribosomal RNA
Source: RNAcentral
UACGGAGGGUGCAAGCGUUAUCCGGAUUCACUGGGUUUAAAGGGUGCGUAGGAGGGCAGGUAAGUCAGUGGUGAAAUCCCCGAGCUUAACUUGGGAACUGCCGUUGAUACUAUCUGUCUUGAAUACCGUGGAGGUGAGCGGAAUAUGUCAUGUAGCGGUGAAAUGCUUAGAUAUGACAUAGAACACCAAUUGCGAAGGCAGCUCGCUACACGAAUAUUGACACUGAGGCACGAAAGCGUGGGGAUCAAACAGG